UACGAAGGGGGCUAGCGUUGUUCGGAAUUACUGGGCGUAAAGGGCGCGUAGGCGGUGCAUCAAGUCAGGCGUGAAAGCCCCGGGCUCAACCUGGGAACCGCGCUUGAGACUGGUGCGCUCGAGUUCGGGAGAGGAUGGUGGAAUUCCCGAAGUAGAGGUGAAAUUCGUAGAUAUCGGGAGGAACACCGGUGGCGAAGGCGACCAUCUGGACGGAUACUGACGCUGAGACGCGAAAGCGUGGGUAGCAAACAGG
Molecule: ribosomal RNA, 253 nt
Filed under: uncultured bacterium
Lineage: Bacteria
Description: partial 16S ribosomal RNA
Rfam family: Bacterial small subunit ribosomal RNA
Source: RNAcentral